GACGAACGCUGGCGGCGUGCUUAACACAUGCAAGUCGAACGGUGAAGCCCUUCGGGGUGGAUCAGUGGCGAACGGGUGAGUAACACGUGAGCAACCUGCCCCUGGCUCUGGGACAACCACUGGAAACGGUGGCUAAUACCGGAUACGACCCGCCUCGGCAUCGAGUGUGGGUGGAAAGUUUUUCGGCUGGGGAUGGGCUCGCGGCCUAUCAGCUUGUUGGUGAGGUGUAGGCUCACCAAGGCGACGACGGGUAGCCGGCCUGAGAGGGCGACCGGCCACACUGGGACUGAGACACGGCCCAGACUCCUACGGGAGGCAGCAGUGGGGAAUAUUGCACAAUGGGCGAAAGCCUGAUGCAGCGACGCCGCGUGAGGGAUGACGGCCUUCGGGUUGUAAACCUCUUUCAGCUCCGAAGAAGCGAAAGUGACGGUAGGAGCAGAAGAAGCACCGGCUAACUACGUG
This 462-nucleotide ribosomal RNA is filed under the name uncultured bacterium. RNAcentral's name for it is "partial 16S ribosomal RNA". It matches the Rfam family "Bacterial small subunit ribosomal RNA", at positions 28 to 507 of the family's 1533-position model. The record is from RNAcentral.